AUGCACGCUGGCGGCGUGCCUAAUACAUGCCAGUCGAGCGAACAGACGAGGAGCUUGCUCCUCUGACGUUAGCGGCGGACGGGUGAGUAACACGUGGAUAACCUACCUAUAAGACUGGGAUAACUUCGGGAAACCGGAGCUAAUACCGGAUAAUAUAUUGAACCGCAUGGUUCAAUAGUGAAAGACGGUUUUGCUGUCACUUAUAGAUGGAUCCGCGCCGCAUUAGCUAGUUGGUAAGGUAACGGCUUACCAAGGCAACGAUGCGUAGCCGACCUGAGAGGGUGAUCGGCCACACUGGAACUGAGACACGGUCCAGACUCCUACGGGAGGCAGCAGUAGGGAAUCUUCCGCAAUGGGCGAAAGCUUGACGGAGCAGCGCCGCGUGAGUGAUGAAGGUCUUCGGAUCGUAAAACUCUGUUAUUAGGGAAGAACAAAUGUGUAAGUAACUAUGCACGUCUUGACGGUACCUAAUCAGAAAGCCACGGCUAACUACGUG
This 496-nucleotide ribosomal RNA is filed under the name uncultured bacterium. RNAcentral's name for it is "partial 16S ribosomal RNA". It matches the Rfam family "Bacterial small subunit ribosomal RNA", at positions 29 to 507 of the family's 1533-position model. The record is from RNAcentral.